RNAcentral lists this ribosomal RNA (409 nucleotides) under bacterium. RNAcentral's name for it is "partial 16S ribosomal RNA". It matches the Rfam family "Bacterial small subunit ribosomal RNA", at positions 355 to 776 of the family's 1533-position model. The record is from RNAcentral.
UGGGGAAUAUUGCACAAUGGGCGAAAGCCUGAUGCAGCGACGCCGCGUGAGGGAUGACGGCCUUCGGGUUGUAAACCUCUUUCAGUAGGGACGAAGCGCAAGUGACGGUACCUGCAGAAGAAGCACCGGCUAACUACGUGCCAGCAGCCGCGGUAAUACGUAGGGUGCGAGCGUUUUCCGGAAUUACUGGGCGUAAAGAGCUCGUAGGCGGUUUGUCACGUCGUCGUUGAAAUCCUAGGGCUUAACCCUGGACGUGCAGGCGAUACGGGCUGACUUGAGUACUACAGGGGAGACUGGAAUUUCUGGUGUAGCGGUGGAAUGCACAGAUAUCAGGAAGAACACCGAUGGCGAAGGCAGGUCUCUGGGUAGUAACUGACGCUGAGGAGCGAAAGCAUGGGUAGCGAACAGG